Molecule: ribosomal RNA, 118 nt
Filed under: Pteropus alecto (black flying fox)
Lineage: Eukaryota; Metazoa; Chordata; Mammalia; Chiroptera; Pteropodidae
Also listed under: 1 other name
Source: RNAcentral
GUCUACGGCCAUGCCACCUCAAUGUGCCCGAUCUCAUCUGAUCUAGGAAGAUAAGCAGGGUUGGGCCUGGUUAGUACUAGCAUGGGUGAUCACCUUGGAAUACUAGUUGCUAUAGGUG